This 253-nucleotide ribosomal RNA is filed under the name uncultured bacterium. Its description in RNAcentral is "partial 16S ribosomal RNA". It matches the Rfam family "Bacterial small subunit ribosomal RNA", at positions 524 to 776 of the family's 1533-position model. The record is from RNAcentral.
UACGUAGGGUGCAAGCGUUGUUCGGAAUUACUGGGCGUAAAGGGCGCGUAGGCGGCCCGCUAAGUCGAACGUGAAAUCCCCGAGCUCAACUCGGGAACUGCGUCCGAUACUGGUGGGCUUGAAUCCGGGAGAGGGAUGCGGAAUUCCAGGUGUAGCGGUGAAAUGCGUAGAUAUCUGGAGGAACACCGGUGGCGAAGGCGGCAUCCUGGACCGGCAUUGACGCUGAGGCGCGAAAGCGGGGGGAGCAAACGGG